RNAcentral lists this ribosomal RNA (484 nucleotides) under uncultured bacterium. Its description in RNAcentral is "partial 16S ribosomal RNA". It matches the Rfam family "Bacterial small subunit ribosomal RNA", at positions 30 to 507 of the family's 1533-position model. The record is from RNAcentral.
AUUGAACGCUGGCGGCAGGCCUAACACAUGCAAGUCGAGCGGAUGAACGGAGCUUGCUCUCGGCUUCCGCUACCGACGGACGAGUAAUGCAUAGGUAUCUGCCUGGUCUUUGGGGAUGACGUAAGUACACGGGACCUAAUACCACAUCCGAUAUGAUGUUGAAAGUGAUGGUUCUAUAGACAAAGCGCUAUUAGAUGUGCCUAGGUCGGAUUUGCUCGGUGGGUUGGUAAAUGCCUACCAAGGCGACGUACCGUAACUGGACUGAGAGGAGGAUCAGUCACACGGGAACUGAGACACGGUCCAGACUCCUACGGGAGGCAGCAGUGGGGAAUUUUGGACAAUGGGCGGAAGCCUGAUCGAGCCAUGCCGGGUGUGGUAAUAAGGUCUUCGGAUUGUAAAACACUUGUAGUUGGGAGGAAGGAAAGUUAUUUGAUACCUUGCUGUUCUGACGGGACCAAAAGAAUAAGCCCCGGCUAACUUCGUG